AUUGAACGCUGGCGGCAGGCCUAACACAUGCAAGUCGAACGAUAACAGGAAGAAGCUUGCUUCUUUGCUGACGAGUGGCGGACGGGUGAGUAAUGUCUGGGAAACUGCCUGAUGGAGGGGGAUAACUACUGGAAACGGUAGCUAAUACCGCAUAACGUCGCAAGACCAAAGAGGGGGACCUUCGGGCCUCUUGCCAUCGGAUGUGCCCAGAUGGGAUUAGCUAGUAGGUGGGGUAACGGCUCACCUAGGCGACGACCCCUAGCUGGUCUGAGAGGAUGACCAGCCACACUGGAACUGAGACACGGUCCAGACUCCUACGGGAGGCAGCAGUGGGGAAUAUUGCACAAAGGGCGCAAGCCUGAUGCAGCCAUGCCGCGUGUAUGAAGAAGGCCUUCGGGUUGUAAAGUACUUUCAGCGGGGAGGAAGGGAGUAAAGUUAAUACCUUUGCUCAUUGACGUUACCCGCAGAAGAAGCACCGGCUAACUCCGUG
RNAcentral lists this ribosomal RNA (490 nucleotides) under uncultured bacterium. RNAcentral's name for it is "partial 16S ribosomal RNA". It matches the Rfam family "Bacterial small subunit ribosomal RNA", at positions 30 to 507 of the family's 1533-position model. The record is from RNAcentral.